GAUGAACGCUGGCGGCGUGCCUAAUACAUGCAAGUCGAGCGAACGGACGAGAAGCUUGCUUCUCUGAUGUUAGCGGCGGACGGGUGAGUAACACGUGGAUAACCUACCUAUAAGACUGGGAUAACUUCGGGAAACCGGAGCUAAUACCGGAUAAUAUUUUGAACCGCAUGGUUCAAAAGUGAAAGACGGUCUUGCUGUCACUUAUAGAUGGAUCCGCGCUGCAUUAGCUAGUUGGUAAGGUAACGGCUUACCAAGGCAACGAUGCAUAGCCGACCUGAGAGGGUGAUCGGCCACACUGGAACUGAGACACGGUCCAGACUCCUACGGGAGGCAGCAGUAGGGAAUCUUCCGCAAUGGGCGAAAGCCUGACGGAGCAACGCCGCGUGAGUGAUGAAGGUCUUCGGAUCGUAAAACUAUGUUAUUAGGGAAGAACAUAUGUGUAAGUAACUGUGCACAUCUUGACGGUACCUAAUCAGAAAGCCACGGCUAACUACGU
RNAcentral lists this ribosomal RNA (496 nucleotides) under uncultured bacterium. Its description in RNAcentral is "partial 16S ribosomal RNA". It matches the Rfam family "Bacterial small subunit ribosomal RNA", at positions 28 to 506 of the family's 1533-position model. The record is from RNAcentral.